RNAcentral lists this ribosomal RNA (508 nucleotides) under uncultured bacterium. Its description in RNAcentral is "partial 16S ribosomal RNA". It matches the Rfam family "Bacterial small subunit ribosomal RNA", at positions 28 to 507 of the family's 1533-position model. The record is from RNAcentral.
GACGAACGCUGGCGGCGUGCCUAAUACAUGCAAGUCGAACGCUUCUUUCCUCCCGAGUGCUUGCACUCAAUUGGAAAGAGGAGUGGCGGACGGGUGAGUAACACGUGGGUAACCUACCCAUCAGAGGGGGAUAACACUUGGAAACAGGUGCUAAUACCGCAUAACAGUUUAUGCCACAUGGCAUAAGAGUGAAAGGCGCUUUCGGGUGUCGCUGAUGGAUGGACCCGCGGUGCAUUAGCUAGUUGGUGAGGUAACGGCUCACCAAGGCCACGAUGCAUAGCCGACCUGAGAGGGUGAUCGGCCACACUGGGACUGAGACACGGCCCAGACUCCUACGGGAGGCAGCAGUAGGGAAUCUUCGGCAAUGGACGAAAGUCUGACCGAGCAACGCCGCGUGAGUGAAGAAGGUUUUCGGAUCGUAAAACUCUGUUGUUAGAGAAGAACAAGGACGUUAGUAACUGAACGUCCCCUGACGGUAUCUAACCAGAAAGCCACGGCUAACUACGUG